AGGAAGAGCUAAGAUGAGAGGUUGAGAGAUGAUUCUCCUCUAACUGACUGGAACAGAGGGAUGUCUUCAGUUCUGCCUCCUGAUAACACACUGUUACAACCAUCACCAUGUUUCUCUACCCAGUGUUUCUCCUCUCUGCACUUGUUGGUGGCAGUUAUGAAAAUAACUUAAAACCAACUUCAGAGACAGAACAUGGCAUGGAGGUAAGCAGUGUUACACUGUCUUGCAACUACUCUGGAUCAGUAGACUCUUCAAUGGUAUCGUCAAUAUCCCAGAUCAGCACCGCAAUUCAUCCUCUAAACUACAGUCACCUUAAAGCCCUCUGUAUUUAGAGCUGAACCUGAUGACCCUCGACUGUCUGUUAAUCUGAAUAAAGAGAGAACCUGUGUGGAUCUGGAGAUCUCCUCUGCUGAAUUGACAGACUCUGCUCUGUACUACUGUGCCCUGAGGCCCACAGUGACAGGAAACCCCUCUAAUAAACUCCUCUAAUGCAUAUUUUAGCGCAGGGGUGAGGCGUCCUACUGUAGGUUCAUGAAAAUAAAUUAUCCUUUAAAAUACUGUGUUGGACUUCCCUCCAGUAUAUAACUUCAGCUACAAUAUGAUGGUUCUCUACACAGUUAUUUUACUUUCUGCUCUGACAGGUUAGUAAAUGACUGUAUACCUUUCAUUCUUUUGACUACAUUUUUUAGGC
Molecule: long non-coding RNA, 691 nt
Organism: Oncorhynchus tshawytscha (Chinook salmon)
Lineage: Eukaryota; Metazoa; Chordata; Actinopteri; Salmoniformes; Salmonidae
Source: Ensembl